This 493-nucleotide ribosomal RNA is filed under the name uncultured bacterium. Its description in RNAcentral is "SSU rRNA". It matches the Rfam family "Bacterial small subunit ribosomal RNA", at positions 26 to 518 of the family's 1533-position model. The record is from RNAcentral.
AGAUUGAACGCUGGCGGCGUGCUUAACACAUGCAAGUCGAGCGGUAACGCGGGAGCAAUCCUGGCGACGAGCGGCGAACGGGUGAGUAAUGCUUGGGAAUCUGCCCAUUAGUGGGGAACAACCAGCCGAAAGGUUGGCUAAUACCGCAUACGCCCUACGGGGGAAAGCGGGGGAUCGAAAGACCUCGCGCUAAUGGAUGAGCCCAAGUCGGAUUAGCUUGUUGGUAGGGUAACGGCCUACCAAGGCGACAAUCCGUAGCUGGUCUGAGAGGACGACCAGCCACACUGGGACUGAGACACGGCCCAGACUCCUACGGGAGGCAGCAGUGGGGAAUAUUGGACAAUGGGGGCAACCCUGAUCCAGCGACGCCGCGUGUGUGAAGAAGGCCUGCGGGUUGUAAGCACUUUUAGUGGGGAUGAAAAGCUACGAGGUUAACACCUCUGGGUCUUGACCUAACCACAGAAAGCACCGGCUAACUCUGCGCAGCAGCCGC